This 227-nucleotide unclassified non-coding RNA is filed under the name Hevea brasiliensis (rubber tree). The record is from RNAcentral. Lineage: Eukaryota; Viridiplantae; Streptophyta; Magnoliopsida; Malpighiales; Euphorbiaceae.
UAUUUUUUACUUAGACUUAACUAUUGGAGAUUUUGUGUAAUUACUGGAAUUUGACUUUGUGGAGAUGAGUUGAUGAUAUUUAUAAGUGCCAUGUAUGCUAAAUUGUAGUUUGGGAAAUUGGAGGAAAUGAUUAGGGAGUGUACAUUUUCCAUGCAGGUUUGGGACUCUGAAAGUCCAGUGUGUAUUUUGAGCCAUGACUGAAUUUGUGUUGCUCCAAUUGGUAUGAG